This is a non-coding RNA of Pelodiscus sinensis (Chinese soft-shelled turtle), 1013 nucleotides long. The record is from RefSeq and is a predicted model, not a curated record. Lineage: Eukaryota; Metazoa; Chordata; Testudines; Trionychidae.
UUCCUCUGAGCGCAGGGUGGGGAACACGCCUCCUCCUCCGUCUCUCUCCCCUUCGCCCUUUCUUCCUGGCUCUGGCAGGAAAGGCAGGGGAGCUGGUGUCUGCGGGGAAGGGGGCGCGAAGGGACAGACCCCGCUCGUUUGCCAGCCCUCUACCAAGGUCUGAAGGUGCCUUCUCAAGCCAGGCCACCCUAUGGAUUGUGGUGCGCAUGCGCUGCACUUGUUUAUAUGCGGGUUUUGAGGAGUAGCUCAUUGUGAAGGUGAGAAUGCAGAAGUGUCCUGAGCAACAUCACUUGUGCCUGGUCUAGCGCCAGCAGAACGUCUGCUGGGACGACAACAGACGAUUCCAUUACUACUGGGGCCAAUACUGCUGGACCCUAACGUGGUCUGAACAACAACUCAGGCACAACACAACUUCAGUGUGUGGCAGCGCACAGAACUCAAUGUGGCUCAGAAGCUCUCAGGCCUUCGGCAGAAGUUCUAAGGUCUUGCCAAGUGGUGACGCCAGACGACCUUCUCCACAGGAGCAGCGCUCCUCUGCGGUAUUGCUCAACACAACAAGGCGAGGAUCCGGGCCGGUCCCGUCUACAAGGAACUCCGCAAGCAAACACGGCAGACGCGAGCAUGUGGGCUGGUAGACUCCUCAGCUCCCCCCGCAAAGAACUCACCUUGAAACUACCGCUCCAUGCGAUUGAUAAGGGGAGGGCAAAUAGCUGUGAGGCAUUAGCAAUGUAUUUUGAAUUGUAUAUUGUAACCUAAGAGCAUCCCAAAGCCGGGGGAAACGGGCUCCCUGCUAUUUGGUGCCGUUAUUCAGGAUGGGUCAGGAUUUACUGCCGGGGUGUCCUCACAGGGCCGACCAGUUCAGUGCCUCAAUGUCGUAAACUGUAUCGGAGACGGAAUACAGGAGGUAUCACUGGAAAACUGGCAACAGACUGAGCGUUAUUCUUGCGCGCCAUGCGUACGGUAAAAUCCCACGGGGCCAUCUGCAUGGGGAGGAAACGUGGGAUUAAAAUGUG